UACGGAGGGUGCAAGCGUUAUCCGGAUUUACUGGGUUUAAAGGGUGCGUAGGCGGGCCAUUAAGUCAGUGGUGAAAGCUCCGAGCUUAACUCGGAAACUGCCAUUGAUACUGUUAAACUUGAAUUAUUAGGAAGUAACUAGAAUAUGUAGUGUAGCGGUGAAAUGCUUAGAGAUUACAUGGAAUACCAAUUGCGAAGGCAGGUUACUACUAAUGGAUUGACGCUGAUGGACGAAAGCGUGGGUAGCGAACAGG
This 253-nucleotide ribosomal RNA is filed under the name uncultured bacterium. Its description in RNAcentral is "partial 16S ribosomal RNA". It matches the Rfam family "Bacterial small subunit ribosomal RNA", at positions 524 to 776 of the family's 1533-position model. The record is from RNAcentral.